Molecule: long non-coding RNA, 683 nt
Filed under: Pan troglodytes (chimpanzee)
Lineage: Eukaryota; Metazoa; Chordata; Mammalia; Primates; Hominidae
Description: long non-coding RNA NONPTRT006907
Source: RNAcentral
UUACAGGCGUGAGCCACAGCGCCCACCCUACAGAGGAAAUUUUAAGGAAAUGUCUGCUUUGAAUACUCAAUAAAAUAUAAGACAAAACCAAAAAUGAUACAGUCUGCUGAAAUUCUGACAGCAAUGAUAAAAGAAUUUUCAAGGAACUGAAAUCCAGUGACAAAAAUGAAAUCGAUCAAGGCUGUAGUUGCACACCUGAGACAUUCCUCGAGAAGGCAGAGGAGAAAGGUGUGAAAAACAGUGAACCAGAGAAGGAUGGCCAGGGACAACAAAGAUUGGAGCUCGGAAGUUGAAUGACAGAUAUUCUGGAGAAACACACCAGAGAUGACAAAAGAAGGACCCUUCUUUGAAUGAAACAAUAAGAUUCAUAUAAGCAACAGGUCUGAGCUGAGGUGUCAUCUCUGAACACCAGGCUGCUGCACUAACCAGAAGACCCCUCCCCCCCCUGCAGUGGCCUCGCUGCAUCGUAAGGACGGAGGAGCUGUUGUCUCCACAGCUGACAGGUGCUUAGCGGUUAGAAGUCUGGUUUUGGCGCGGCUUAGAUCUUUACAUCUGAACUAGUCUUGUCAACAUAUUUUGUUAUAUUUCUGGUGGCUUUGUCUUUGAUGCUAUUAUAAAUGAUUAUCUUUUAAAAUAAUACUUUGAUGAUAUAUAGAAAUGAAAUUGAUUUAUUUGUAUCCAGC